AACGAACGCUGGCGGCAUGCCUAACACAUGCAAGUCGAACGAGACCUUCGGGUCUAGUGGCGCACGGGUGCGUAACGCGUGGGAACCUGCCUUUAGGUUCGGAAUAACUCAGAGAAAUUUGAGCUAAUACCGGAUGAUGUCUUCGGACCAAAGAUUUAUCGCCUUUAGAUGGGCCCGCGUUGGAUUAGCUAGUUGGUGGGGUAAUGGCCUACCAAGGCGACGAUCCAUAGCUGGUCAGAGAGGAUGAUCAGCCACACUGGGACUGAGACACGGCCCAGACUCCUACGGGAGGCAGCAGUGGGGAAUAUUGGACAAUGGGCGAAAGCCUGAUCCAGCAAUGCCGCGUGAGUGAUGAAGGCCUUAGGGUUGUAAAGCUCUUUUAACCGAGAUGAUAAUGACAGUAUCGGGAGAAUAAGCCCCGGCUAACUCCGUG
This 433-nucleotide ribosomal RNA is filed under the name uncultured bacterium. RNAcentral's name for it is "partial 16S ribosomal RNA". It matches the Rfam family "Bacterial small subunit ribosomal RNA", at positions 29 to 507 of the family's 1533-position model. The record is from RNAcentral.